This is a non-coding RNA of Pelobates cultripes (western spadefoot toad), 153 nucleotides long. The record is from the annotation of a GenBank genome assembly. Lineage: Eukaryota; Metazoa; Chordata; Amphibia; Anura; Pelobatidae.
ACCACAAAGAUGAUGGCUGCACUCAUCGGACUUCUUAAAAUUCAAAAUACUUUAUUGUAAAUCCAUUAAAAUGAUCUGAUCAUUUUAAUGGAUUUACAAUAAAGUAUUUUGAAUUUUAAGAAGUUCGAGGAGUGCAGCCAUCAUCUUUGUGGU